Molecule: long non-coding RNA, 414 nt
Filed under: Cyanistes caeruleus (blue tit)
Lineage: Eukaryota; Metazoa; Chordata; Aves; Passeriformes; Paridae
Description: lncRNA (ENSCCEG00000015526.1)
Source: RNAcentral
CAACCUUUCUUUCAAUGGCACAGUCACUGUGUCCUUUCUGUCUCCUCAACACUUGCCUGUUCAAAAUAGUCCUGUGUCUUACCCAGGACCUCACAGGAAAUGGUUCUCCAUUUCAUGCCAAUGUUUUUGGUAAAUAAAAUAUAAUUCUCAUUUUACUCUGGGGUUAACCUGAGACGUUUUGUGUUCUAUUCCCCAUACAGCAAGCAUAAGGCCAUCCAUACCAAACCCAUCAAACAGUGGAGCUGGCAGCUGCUGGAGGUGAAGAAAAAGGCUGCAGUCUAUGCCCUCAGGAGCCAAAACCAAACAUCUGACCUGAGUUUCUCAGGACUGGGGGGAAGCAGAGCCAUGAGAUUGCAAAAGAGGGGUCAUACUUCUACAUGGUCUCUGUGUGAGUAUGUGAGUAUGAAUUUCUGU